UAGGGCGGCCGUCGUCGCGCUGGUGUGGGUCUCGCCAUUGCAGCUCAGAGUCAUCUGUACAGGACUCUCCCCCAGCCCCAGUGAACGCUCAUGCAGAUAGCGAGCCGCCUCGCUAUUUCUUGCGAAGCCAUGCUCGGCAGGUCUCGCACGAGCAUGUUGCCGAGAAGCGAAAGCUGGAGGCCAGGGGGAAGAGCAGUGGCAAGAAGAGGCGCCUGUGGAGCCCCCCUGAGCAGGCCCAGCCCACGGAGGAUCCGGCGUCAGCCAGUCCCGGCCAGCAUUGCAGCCAGGGACUGCCUCACGGGCGGCCGUCGUCGCGCUGGUGUGGGCGUCGCCAUUACAGCCCAGAGUCAUCUGUACAGGACUCUCCGUAUGUAUUCUUUCAUAUUGUUUUUAAAUUAUUUUAUUUUGCAGUGAUGUUGCUUCACUUUUCAUGUGUUUGCUAGAGAUACCUGAACAUUCAAUGGUAUUCUAUAGUUUUUCUUUAUAGAAAUCUGUUAUCGAUAAUGCGUCAAGUGCUACAGCUCAUUUGCCAUCUAGCGCAAGGGCUGUGACAGAAGGCAGUGAUGUGACAGCUGUGCUGAAUGAUCGAUAGUGCUACAGCCUGCUCUAUUUCCACUAUUCUACACCAAACGGUGUGUUUUCAUAGUUUGAAAAUGAAACCACAGUCUCUCGAGGCUGAAGCAUACUUCUGAAAAGUUUUCUUCUGAAGAAAUAAAGUUUACCAUCAAUGACGAUAGUUAUAGCGCGAGAACAAAACGAC
Molecule: long non-coding RNA, 760 nt
Organism: Rhipicephalus microplus (southern cattle tick)
Lineage: Eukaryota; Metazoa; Arthropoda; Arachnida; Ixodida; Ixodidae
Source: RefSeq, a predicted model, not a curated record